UAGGGAAUCUUCCACAAUGGACGCAAGUCUGAUGGAGCAACGCCGCGUGAGUGAAGAAGGUCUUCGGAUCGUAAAGCUCUGUUGUUGGUGAAGAAGGAUAGAGGCAGUAACUGGUCUUUAUUUGACGGUAAUCAACCAGAAAGUCACGGCUAACUACGUGCCAGCAGCCGCGGUAAUACGUAGGUGGCAAGCGUUGUCCGGAUUUAUUGGGCGUAAAGCGAGCGCAGGCGGAAUGAUAAGUCUGAUGUGAAAGCCCACGGCUCAACCGUGGAACUGCAUCGGAAACUGUCAUUCUUGAGUGCAGAAGAGGAGAGUGGAACUCCAUGUGUAGCGGUGGAAUGCGUAGAUAUAUGGAAGAACACCAGUGGCGAAGGCGGCUCUCUGGUCUGCAACUGACGCUGAGGCUCGAAAGCAUGGGUAGCGAACAGGAUUAGAUACCCUGGUAGUCCAUGCCGUAAACGAUGAGCGCUAGGUGUUGGGGACUUUCCGGUUCUCAGUGCCGCAGCAAACGCAUUAAGCGCUCCGCCUGGGGAGUACGACCGCAAGGUUGAAACUCUAAGUGAUUGAC
Molecule: ribosomal RNA, 568 nt
Filed under: uncultured bacterium
Lineage: Bacteria
Description: partial 16S ribosomal RNA
Rfam family: Bacterial small subunit ribosomal RNA
Source: RNAcentral